Molecule: RNase P RNA, 322 nt
Filed under: Flavobacteriia bacterium
Lineage: Bacteria; Pseudomonadati; Bacteroidota; Flavobacteriia
Description: RNase P RNA component class A
Rfam family: Bacterial RNase P class A
About the family: Ribonuclease P (RNase P) is a ubiquitous endoribonuclease, found in archaea, bacteria and eukarya as well as chloroplasts and mitochondria. Its best characterised activity is the generation of mature 5'-ends of tRNAs by cleaving the 5'-leader elements of precursor-tRNAs.
Source: RNAcentral
UCAGCAAACCGCUUUGUCGCUCUGCCGUUUUGACGGUGGGGAGGAAAGUCCGGACACCACAGAGCAGCAUAACGGGUAACGCCCGUCGUCCCGGCAUUGAGUUGGGGCAGGACAAGUGCAACAGAAAGCAGGUACAGUCAGGCUGUAGUGAAACCAGGUAAACUCUAUGCGGUGCAAUGCCAAGUAUACCGGCAGUCAAGGGCGGCUCGUCCAUUGUCGGGGGGUAGGCAGUUAGAUCCCGCCGGUAACGUCGGGGCCAGAUAAAUGACAAAGAUUCCGCACAUGCGGAAUACAGAAUCCGGCUUACAGGUUUGCUUAUUUU